GAUGAACGCUGGCGGCGUGCCUAAUACAUGCAAGUCGAGCGAACAGACGAGGAGCUUGCUCCUUUGACGUUAGCGGCGGACGGGUGAGUAACACGUGGAUAACCUACCUAUAAGACUGGGAUAACUUCGGGAAACCGGAGCUAAUACCGGAUAACAUGUUGAACCGCAUGGUUCAACAGUGAAAGACGGUCUUUCUGUCACUUAUAGAUGGAUCCGCGCCGCAUUAGCUAGUUGGUAAGGUAACGGCUUACCAAGGCAACGAUGCGUAGCCGACCUGAGAGGGUGAUCGGCCACACUGGAACUGAGACACGGUCAAGACUCCUACGGGAGGCAGCAGUAGGGAAUCUUCCGCAAUGGGCGAAAGCCUGACGGAGCAACGCCGCGUGAGUGAAGAAGGUCUUCGGAUCGUAAAACUCUGUUAUUAGGGAAGAACAAAUGUGUAAGUAACUAUGCACGUCUUGACGGUACCUAAUCAGAAAGCCACGGCUAACUACGUG
Molecule: ribosomal RNA, 497 nt
Filed under: uncultured bacterium
Lineage: Bacteria
Description: partial 16S ribosomal RNA
Rfam family: Bacterial small subunit ribosomal RNA
Source: RNAcentral